UGCAGUAGGCUACUGGCUUCCAUUACAGACGCUUUUGUUUUGCAUUAACAAUUGAUCUAUUCAAGUCUUGUACUUGGCGCCGUUUUGCUUCUCUACUCCAAACUUCGACAGAGUGGUCCAUCUGCUUUAAACACCGAAACUGCCCUGUUCCACAAACAUACCCUCGAUGUGGCUCAACCUUUUCAAAACUGAAAGUGAAUGACUACGAAUUGAGAGGGUCCGUUUGGAACAGGGAAUUAAAGUUUGGCACCCACUCUCCACACCGCUGUUAAAAUGCAGGGUGUUCAAAGAAGAGAAGACAUUGCAUUAAAGUUCCUUGCGAUGCUGCAUCGUCCUCCUUAAUGCAAUUUACACAAGUUAUGACUAAUUCUGAACGACAGAGCCAAGGAAGAAGACAAGAGACGCGAACCUUCAAAAAGCCCGAAGAGACCGCUGUCCAUAAAAAAAGUGCUGAAUCGCAGUACUGUGCUCAAAGGUAGAUAGCCUUCUGGAACGGCACCGUCCAAAACGUGUGCGCUUAAGCAGAUAUUAGACCGGCUCCCUCAUCUUGAUAAGUAAGAAAAUUGUGAUUAAAGUGAGAAGUGUUAUUGAAA
This is a long non-coding RNA of Conger conger (European conger), 593 nucleotides long. RefSeq lists it as uncharacterized. The record is from RefSeq and is a predicted model, not a curated record. Lineage: Eukaryota; Metazoa; Chordata; Actinopteri; Anguilliformes; Congridae. The transcript is spliced from 2 exons.